This 452-nucleotide ribosomal RNA is filed under the name Marinobacter lipolyticus. Its description in RNAcentral is "bacterial SSU rRNA". It matches the Rfam family "Bacterial small subunit ribosomal RNA", at positions 79 to 525 of the family's 1533-position model. The record is from RNAcentral. Lineage: Bacteria; Pseudomonadati; Pseudomonadota; Gammaproteobacteria; Pseudomonadales; Marinobacteraceae.
CUUGCACCCCGCUGACGAGCGGCGGACGGGUGAGUAAUGCUUAGGAAUCUGCCCAGUAGUGGGGGAUAGCCCGGGGAAACCCGGAUUAAUACCGCAUACGUCCUACGGGAGAAAGCAGGGGAUCUUCGGACCUUGCGCUACUGGAUGAGCCUAAGUCGGAUUAGCUAGUUGGUGGGGUAAAGGCCUACCAAGGCGACGAUCCGUAGCUGGUCUGAGAGGAUGAUCAGCCACAUCGGGACUGAGACACGGCCCGAACUCCUACGGGAGGCAGCAGUGGGGAAUAUUGGACAAUGGGGGCAACCCUGAUCCAGCCAUGCCGCGUGUGUGAAGAAGGCUUUCGGGUUGUAAAGCACUUUCAGUGAGGAGGAAGGCUCUGAGGUUAAUACCUUUUGGGAUUGACGUUACUCACAGAAGAAGCACCGGCUAACUCCGUGCCAGCAGCCGCGGUAAUA